GUGGGGAAUAUUGGGCAAUGGGGGCAACCCUGACCCAGCGACGCCGCGUGAGGGAAGAAGGCCUUAGGGUCGUAAACCUCUGUUGUGUGGGAAGAAGGAAGUGACGGUACCACACGAGGAAGUCCCGACUAACUACGUACCAGCAGCCGCGGUACUACGUAGGGGACGAGCGUUGUCCGGAAUUACUGGGCGUAAAGGGCGCGUAGGCGGUCAUUUAAGUCAGCUGUGAAAUGGUCCGGCUCAACCGGAUCAUGCGGGUGAAACUAGAUGACUGGAGUGCUGGAGAGGCAAGUGGAAUUCCCAGUGUAGCGGUGAAAUGCGUAGAUAUUGGGAAGAACACCGGUGGCGAAGGCGACUUGUUGGCCAGCAACUGACGCUGAGGCGCGAAGGCCAGGGGAGCAAACGGGAUUAGAAACCCGGGUAGUCC
Molecule: ribosomal RNA, 427 nt
Filed under: uncultured bacterium
Lineage: Bacteria
Description: partial 16S ribosomal RNA
Rfam family: Bacterial small subunit ribosomal RNA
Source: RNAcentral